GCUCCAACAGGCCCGACCCAACACUAGACAACUUCAUUUGUCAUCAUCACAGCCUCAUAGGAAGGAGGAGACAGUAUACUUUAUAGCCCAACAGCACAUAAUAUAAGCCAGAAACCCAAAAACGCUCGAAAUACAUGUGAUUAGACCUUUUUCAACUAUGGUGGUUUUGGUGAAAUUUUGAAAAGGAAAUCAUCAGCGGAAGAACAGAGAGAGGACAACCACCAUUAAAGACUCCCCAAUGCCUCUCCGUUGCCUCGUUUGUUCGUCUAGAGUUGCAGAACACACUUACAUUAGGUCAUUUUUUGCCCAACUGCCUAAACAGUCUUUUAGCUUAAG
RNAcentral lists this unclassified non-coding RNA (336 nucleotides) under Hevea brasiliensis (rubber tree). The record is from RNAcentral. Lineage: Eukaryota; Viridiplantae; Streptophyta; Magnoliopsida; Malpighiales; Euphorbiaceae.